RNAcentral lists this ribosomal RNA (323 nucleotides) under uncultured eukaryote. RNAcentral's name for it is "partial 18S ribosomal RNA". It matches the Rfam family "Eukaryotic small subunit ribosomal RNA", at positions 1470 to 1796 of the family's 1831-position model. The record is from RNAcentral.
CCCUUAGAUGUUCUGGGCUGCACGCGUGCUACACUGAUAUUGCCAAUAUGUCAUUCUUAUCCGAAAUGGAUUGGGUAAUCAAGUAAUGAAAUUUCAUGCUUGGAAUCGGUGAUUGCAAUUUUAUCGCGAACGAGGAAUUCCUAGUAAGCACUAGUCAUCAGCUAAUGUUGAUUAUGUCCCUGCCCUUUGUACACACCGCCCGUCGCUACUACUGAUUGGGUGUUCAAGUGAGAUGCUUAGACCCUUGUUGCAUGGUUCAUUAUUGUGCUCCGAAAGGAAAAAGUUUCAAGCUUGAGUGUCUAGAGGAAGUAAAAGUCGUAACA